Molecule: long non-coding RNA, 557 nt
Filed under: Physcomitrium patens
Lineage: Eukaryota; Viridiplantae; Streptophyta; Bryopsida; Funariales; Funariaceae
Description: long non-coding RNA (PPAT_LNC010596)
Source: RNAcentral
UUUGGUUAGGAUUUGAUUUAGGGUUAGGAUUUGAUUAGAAUUUGGUUAGGAUUUGAUUUAAGAUUCGGAUUUGAUUUAGGGUUUAGGAUUUGGUCAGGGUUUGAUUUAGGAUUAGGAUUUGAUUAGGAUUAGAGUUUGAAUAGGGUUUGAUUUAGGAUUAGGAUUCAAUUAUAUUUUGGUUAGAAUUUGAUUUAGGAUUAGAGUUUGAUUUAAGGUUUAAGAUUUGGUUAGGAUUUGAUUUAGGAUUAGGAUUUGGUUUAGAAUUUAGGAUUUGGUUAGGAUUUGAUUUAAGAUUUAGGAUUUGAUUUAGGAUUUAGAAUUUGGUUUAGGAUUUAAGAUUUGGUUAGGAUUUGAUCAUGAUUUGAUUUAGGAUUUAGGAUUUUAUUUGAGUUUAUUUAAGAUUUAAGAUUUAGUUAGUUUUUGGCCUAAAGUUUGAAUGAAGUCCAAUAAGAUUUCAAUUAAGAUUAAAUUUAGAUUGAAUUGAGAUAUAUUUAAGAUAUGUUUGUAAUCAUUCUAAUAUUUUUUUAAGAUUUCUUAUUAUUUCUUUGAAAUUCCUU